GACGAACGCUGGCGGCGUGCCUAAUACAUGCAAGUCGAACGAAACUUUCUUACACCGAAUGCUUGCAUUCACCGUAAGAAGUUGAGUGGCGGACGGGUGAGUAACACGUGGGUAACCUGCCUAAAAGAAGGGGAUAACACUUGGAAACAGGUGCUAAUACCGUAUAUCUCUAAGGAUCGCAUGAUCCUUAGAUGAAAGAUGGUUCUGCUAUCGCUUUUAGAUGGACCCGCGGCGUAUUAACUAGUUGGUGGGGUAACGGCCUACCAAGGUGAUGAUACGUAGCCGAACUGAGAGGUUGAUCGGCCACAUUGGGACUGAAACACGGCCCAAACUCCUACGGGAGGCAGCAGUAGGGAAUCUUCCACAAUGGACGCAAGUCUGAUGGAGCAACGCCGCGUGAGUGAAGAAGGUCUUCGGAUCGUAAAACUCUGUUGUUAGAGAAGAACACGAGUGAGAGUAACUGUUCAUUCGAUGACGGUAUCUAACCAGCAAGUCACGGCUAACUACGUGCCAGCAGCCGCGGUAAUACGUAGGUGGCAAGCGUUGUCCGGAUUUAUUGGGCGUAAAGGGAACGCAGGCGGUCUUUUAAGUCUGAUGUGAAAGCCUUCGGCUUAACCGGAGUAGUGCAUUGGAAACUGGAAGACUUGAGUGCAGAAGAGGAGAGUGGAACUCCAUGUGUAGCGGUGAAAUGCGUAGAUAUAUGGAAGAACACCAGUGGCGAAAGCGGCUCUCUGGUCUGUAACUGACGCUGAGGUUCGAAAGCGUGGGUAGCAAACAGGAUUAGAUACCCUGGUAGUCCACGCCGUAAACGAUGAAUGCUAGGUGUUGGAGGGUUUCCGCCCUUCAGUGCCGCAGCUAACGCAAUAAGCAUUCCGCCUGGGGAGUACGACCGCAAGGUUGAAACUCAAAGGAAUUGACGGGGGCCCGCACAAGCGGUGGAGCAUGUGGUUUAAUUCGAAGCAACGCGAAGAACCUUACCAGGUCUUGACAUCCUUUGACCACCUAAGAGAUUAGGCUUUCCCUUCGGGGACAAAGUGACAGGUGGUGCAUGGCUGUCGUCAGCUCGUGUCGUGAGAUGUUGGGUUAAGUCCCGCAACGAGCGCAACCCUUGUUGUCAGUUGCCAGCAUUAAGUUGGGCACUCUGGCGAGACUGCCGGUGACAAACCGGAGGAAGGUGGGGACGACGUCAAGUCAUCAUGCCCCUUAUGACCUGGGCUACACACGUGCUACAAUGGACGGUACAACGAGUCGCGAGACCGCGAGGUUUAGCUAAUCUCUUAAAGCCGUUCUCAGUUCGGAUUGUAGGCUGCAACUCGCCUACAUGAAGUCGGAAUCGCUAGUAAUCGCGAAUCAGCAUGUCGCGGUGAAUACGUUCCCGGGCCUUGUACACACCGCCCGUCACACCAUGAGAGUUUGUAACACCCAAGGCCGGUGGGGUAACCGCAAGGAGCCAGCCGUCUAAGGUGGGACAGAUGAUUGGGGUG
Molecule: ribosomal RNA, 1484 nt
Filed under: Ligilactobacillus salivarius
Lineage: Bacteria; Bacillati; Bacillota; Bacilli; Lactobacillales; Lactobacillaceae
Description: bacterial SSU rRNA
Rfam family: Bacterial small subunit ribosomal RNA
Source: RNAcentral